UCUUUUAGCUGUGCUGCCCAGGGCUUGCUUGAUCUCGUCUGAUCUUGAAGCUAAACCUGGUUGGUCCUGGUUAGUCUUUGGAUGUGAGACCUUUUGGGACUAAAAGGUGCUGUAAGCU
RNAcentral lists this ribosomal RNA (118 nucleotides) under Oryzias melastigma (Indian medaka). Lineage: Eukaryota; Metazoa; Chordata; Actinopteri; Beloniformes; Adrianichthyidae. The record is from RNAcentral.